Molecule: ribosomal RNA, 480 nt
Filed under: uncultured bacterium
Lineage: Bacteria
Description: partial 16S ribosomal RNA
Rfam family: Bacterial small subunit ribosomal RNA
Source: RNAcentral
GAUGAACGCUGGCGGCGUGCUUAACACAUGCCAGUCGAACGGAACUACUCCAAUGAGAGUCUUCGGAAAGGAUUUGGUUUAGUUUAGUGGCGGACGGGUGAGUAACGCGUGGGUAACCUGCCCUAUACAGGGGGAUAACAGUUGGAAACGACUGUUAAUACCGCAUAAGCGCACAGGAGCGCAUGCUCCGGUGUGAAAAACUCCGGUGGUAUAGUAUGGACCCGCGUCUGAUUAGCUGGUUGGCGGGGUAACGGCCCACCAAGGCGACGAUAGGUAGCCGGGCAGAGAGGGUGAACGGACACAUUGGGACUAAGCCGCGGUCGAGAAUCCUACGGGAGGGAGCAGUGGGGGAUAUUGCACAAUCGGGGAAAUCCUGAUGCAGCGCCGACGCGUGAGCGAAGAAGUAUGUCGGUAAGUAAAGUUCGAUCAGCAGGGAAGAAAAUGACGGUACCUGACUAAGAAGCCCCGGCUAACUACGUG